CAUGGAGCUGAAAUCAGUCGAAGAUACCAGCUGGCUGCAACUGUUUAUUAAAAACACAGCACUGUGCAAACACGAAAGUGGACGUAUACGGUGUGACGCCUGCCCGGUGCCGGAAGGUUAAUUGAUGGGGUUAUCCGUAAGGAGAAGCUCUUGAUCGAAGCCCCGGUAAACGGCGGCCGUAACUAUAACGGUCCUAAGGUAGCGAAAUUCCUUGUCGGGUAAGUUCCGACCUGCACGAAUGGCGUAAUGAUGGCCAGGCUGUCUCCACCCGAGACUCAGUGAAAUUGAACUCGCUGUGAAGAUGCAGUGUACCCGCGGCAAGACGGAAAGACCCCGUGAACCUUUACUAUAGCUUGACACUGAACACUGGUCCUUGAUGUGUAGGAUAGGUGGGAGGCUUUGAAGUGUGGACGCCAGUCUGCAUGGAGCCAUCCUUGAAAUACCACCCUUUAAUGGCUGGUGUUCUAACGUAGACCCGUGAUCCGGGUUGCGGACAGUGUCUGGUGGGUAGUUUGACUGGGGCGGUCUCCUCCUAAAGAGUAACGGAGGAGCACGAAGGUUAGCUAAUCCUGGUCGGACAUCAGGAGGUUAGUGCAAAGGCAUAAGCUAGCUUGACUGCGAGAGUGACGGCUCGAGCAGGUGCGAAAGCAGGUCUUAGUGAUCCGGUGGUUCUGAAUGGAAGGGCCAUCGCUCAACGGAUAAAAGGUACUCCGGGGAUAACAGGCUGAUACCGCCCAAGAGUUCAUAUCGACGGCGGUGUUUGGCACCUCGAUGUCGGCUCAUCACAUCCUGGGGCUGAAGUAGGUCCCAAGGGUAUGGCUGUUCGCCAUUUAAAGUGGUACGCGAGCUGGGUUUAGAACGUCGUGAGACAGUUCGGUCCCUAUCUGCCGUGGGCGCUGGAGAAUUGAGGGGGGCUGCUCCUAGUACGAGAGGACCGGAGUGGACGCAUCACUGGUGUUCGGGUUGUCAUGCCAAUGGCAUUGCCCGGUAGCUAAAUGCGGAAGAGAUAAGUGCUGAAAGCAUCUAAGCACGAAACUUGCCCCGAGAUGAGUUCUCCCUGACUCCUUGAGAGUCCUGAAGGAACGUU
This 1087-nucleotide ribosomal RNA is filed under the name Citrobacter portucalensis. Its description in RNAcentral is "partial 23S ribosomal RNA". It matches the Rfam family "Bacterial large subunit ribosomal RNA", at positions 1761 to 2839 of the family's 2925-position model. The record is from RNAcentral. Lineage: Bacteria; Pseudomonadati; Pseudomonadota; Gammaproteobacteria; Enterobacterales; Enterobacteriaceae.